GGCAGUGUGGUGUAGUGGUUUGAGUGUUUGCUCAGAAUGCUAGAGAUCAGGGUUCAAAUCCCUAUUCAGCCA
Molecule: non-coding RNA, 72 nt
Organism: Phrynosoma platyrhinos (Desert horned lizard)
Lineage: Eukaryota; Metazoa; Chordata; Lepidosauria; Squamata; Phrynosomatidae
Source: the annotation of a GenBank genome assembly